Molecule: long non-coding RNA, 349 nt
Filed under: Zea mays
Lineage: Eukaryota; Viridiplantae; Streptophyta; Magnoliopsida; Poales; Poaceae
Description: long non-coding RNA NONZMAT002322
Source: RNAcentral
UUCGGUUUUAAAAUGCCCACCCCUACGAAGAACAGAGAGACGGAGUGUCGUGAACCGGGUGGUCGUCGGUGUUGUCCUCGCCACGGCUGGCGUCCGGGGGUCCGCGACGAGCCGAGGUGCUUUGGGUGGUUGUCAGUGGAUCGCCUGUAGCUAGAUUGGGAGGAAAUCGACCCUGGGGCGGCUGGAAUUCAUCACCGUACACAUCGAUCCGCCGCACCGCGUGGGUAGAUUGGAGUACUCCUGGAAUCGCGGUGAGCAACCUCUCCCCUACAUCGUACGGUUAUCCUCUACGUGUUACUAAAAUUGAUUCGAAGUUCGUGCGAGUGGGCCGGAUUUUGGGCGACACCGG